Eucalyptus grandis is the source of this 100-nucleotide non-coding RNA. The record is from Rfam. NCBI's taxonomy places the organism in Eukaryota, Viridiplantae, Streptophyta, Magnoliopsida, Myrtales, Myrtaceae.
AGAGGGUGUUGAAUGUAGCCAAGAAUGACUUGCCGGUUUUCCUUCUUUUUUGAAACGAUAAGGUAGCCGGCAAGCUGUUCUUGGCUACAUUUGUCUCUCU